ACUCAAAUGAAUUGACGGGGAUCAGCACAAGCGGUGGAUCGUGUUCUUUAAUUCGAUGAUAAACGAAGAACCUUACCAGGGCUUGACAUCCAGGGAAGCACUACGAAAGUAGAGUGUGCCUUUUGGAACCCUGUGACAGGUGUUGCAUGGCCGUCGUCAGCUCGUGUCGUGAGAUGUUUGGUUAAGUCCAUCAACGAGCGCAACCCUUGCGAAUAGUUGUAUUUUUCUAUUCGGACUGCUCUAGUAAUAGGGAGGAAGGAGGGGAUGAUGUCAGGUCAGUAUUACCCUUACGUCCUGGGCUAGAAACACGAUACAAUGGCAAGUACAAUGCGCAGCAAAGCCGCGAGGUGGAGCAAAUCGCACCAAAGCUUGUCCCAGUUCGGAUAAGAGGCUGAAACUCGCCUCUUUGAAGCCGGAAUCGCUAGUAAUCGCAGGUCAGCAAACUGCGGUGAAUACGUCACUGAUCUUGUACACACCGCCCGU
Molecule: ribosomal RNA, 483 nt
Filed under: uncultured bacterium
Lineage: Bacteria
Description: partial 16S ribosomal RNA
Rfam family: Bacterial small subunit ribosomal RNA
Source: RNAcentral